Molecule: unclassified non-coding RNA, 334 nt
Filed under: soil metagenome
Description: partial contains 5.8S ribosomal RNA, internal transcribed spacer 2, and large subunit ribosomal RNA
Rfam family: 5.8S ribosomal RNA (bases 1-120)
Source: RNAcentral
GAUGAAGAACGCAGCGAAAUGCGAUAAGUAAUGUGAAUUGCAGAAUUCAGUGAAUCAUCGAAUCUUUGAACGCACAUUGCGCCCCCCAGUAUUCUGGCGGGCAUGCCUGUUCGAGCGUCAUUUCAACCAUCAAGCCCUGCUUGUGUUGGGGUCCUGCGGCUGCCCGCAGGCCCUGAAAACCAGUGGCGGGCUCGCUAGUCACACCGAGCGCAGUAGCACAUCUCGCUCAGGGCGUGCGGCGGGCUCCAGCCGUUAAAGCACCCACCUUUCGCAAGGUUGACCUCGGAUCAGGUAGGAAUACCCGCUGAACUUAAGCAUAGCAAUAAGCGGAGGA